This 64-nucleotide transfer RNA is filed under the name Chaetopleura apiculata. RNAcentral's name for it is "tRNA-Tyr". Lineage: Eukaryota; Metazoa; Mollusca; Polyplacophora; Chitonida; Chaetopleuridae. The record is from RNAcentral.
GGCAAAAUGACUGAGCUUUAGGUGAUAGAUUGUAAAUCUAUUUAUGAGAAUAUUCUCUUUUGCU